RNAcentral lists this ribosomal RNA (578 nucleotides) under uncultured archaeon. RNAcentral describes it as "bacterial SSU rRNA". It matches the Rfam family "Archaeal small subunit ribosomal RNA", at positions 98 to 681 of the family's 1478-position model. The record is from RNAcentral.
ACGUGGACAAUCUAACCUAAGGUGGGGGAUAACCCCGGGAAACUGGGGAUAAUACCCCAUAGACUAUGGGUGCUGGAAUGCUCUGUAGUUGAAAGGUCCGCCGCCAUAGGAUGAGUCUGCGGCCGAUUAGGUUGUUGUUGGGGUAACGGCCCAACAAGCCUGUAAUCGGUACGGGUUGUGGGAGCAAGAGCCCGGAGAUGGAUUCUGAGACACGAAUCCAGGCCCUACGGGGCGCAGCAGGCGCGAAAACUUUACAAUGCGGGAAACCGUGAUAAGGGAACUCCGAGUGCCCGUAAAAUCGGGCUGUCCACCAGUGCAAAUAACUGGUGAAGAAAGGGCCGGGCAAGACCGGUGCCAGCCGCCGCGGUAAUACCGGCGGCUCGAGUGGUGGCCACUAUUACUGGGCUUAAAGCGUUCGUAGCUGGUCUGUUAAGUCUCUGGGGAAAUCUACUGGCUUAACCAAUAGGCAUCUCAGGGAUACUGGCAGACUAGGGACCGGGAGAGGUGAGGGGUACUCCAGGGGUAGGAGUGAAAUCCUGUAAUCCUUGGGGGACCACCUGUGGCGAAGGCGCCUCACC